This 1246-nucleotide long non-coding RNA is filed under the name Scleropages formosus (Asian bonytongue). Its description in RNAcentral is "lncRNA (ENSSFOG00015032595.1)". The record is from RNAcentral. Lineage: Eukaryota; Metazoa; Chordata; Actinopteri; Osteoglossiformes; Osteoglossidae.
GAAGCGCUAAUGGCUACAGUUAAGAGGGUUGCUGCCGCUGCAGCAAUAACCAAAGUGCGGAAAGUGGCCAUGGCCUUGUCAGAAGUGGAGGAGUAUAGGACCCCCAUGAAACCAGGACCUGAAGCACAGAAGACAAAGGAGAGACGCUACGAGUGUAGUGUGUGUGGGAAGAGGUUCCAGAGCCGGAGCCACAUCAAAGAGCACCAUCGUGUGCACACCGCACAAGUACACACCCCCAAGUCCUGAGCUGCUGUCUUCAUCCAAGAAGAAAAGGCCCAGCCACCAUCUGCCCUCAGAACAGGGAAAAGUGAAGAAAGAGGAGGUGGAGAUGGUGUCUUUCCAGAAGUGUGCCGGAGGGUUGAGGAAAGUUGCUUAUGAAAUAGAGGUAGUGCUUUAAGACUUGGGACAAUUUUUUUUUAUUACUAAAUAACCUGACUUACCUUUUUUAUGGCACCAAAAUUUGUGUUACUUUCUGGCAUAAUUUGAUUUCAGGGGUCACAGAGGCAUUAUUGUUAGCAAUAACUGCGCUUAUUGCUUAGCUGAUGCCGCUGUACAAAGUAACUUAACAUUUGGUCCAUCUAGACAGCUGGGUAUCUUACUCAAGGGUAAUUCAGUAGUCAGAAGUGGGAUCUGAUCCAGCAAACCUAAGUUACAUUAGGAUCACAGAACCAGUUGUGCAAUUCUUUUUAUCUGUUGUAAUACACUUCUCAUUCAGUUGACACUAACCGAGUGAUAUGGAAUUUCUAGACCAGAAGUUUAGAAAUGUUCAUUGUAAUUGCUGCUGAUACUUGAAAUAUUUUGAAAUGAGGCUCUUUUAGACCUUUUCUUUCAUUGGUGCCUUUAUUACAUUUCCCCAAGACACUUUCAGUUUAACAACAGUAAAUUGACAUUAGAAAUGUAGUGGUCAUUGAUUUGAUUAAUUUUUCUUCUGUCAUUACUGUUUGUCAUAUUUUAGCUGUUUUGCUUUGUAUUAGUUUGAUCAUCAGAUUUUAAUACUACUGCACCAUUUACUAUGUAAAGCUAUUUUAUAUUUGCUGUCUGUAAAGUCAGAUGUAGGGACCUUCUAAUGUACUUUUUAUUCAUAUUUAAAAUAUGGUAAGCAAAUAUCAGUUUUUAAAAUUUCCACCUUAUACCAUCACUUUUAUGUUAAGUGUUGAAAAUUAUUGUAAUUUAAAUUAAUAUCCAAAAUCAUUCUUGAAAAAUAUUUUAUUUUCUUUUACUGAUAAGGUAAUGGAGUAUGUUGAAU